UACGUAGGGGGCAAGCGUUGUCCGGAAUCACUGGGCGUAAAGGGCGCGUAGGCGGUCUGUUAAGUCAGUUGUGAAAACUAGGGGCUCAACCCCUAGACUGCAAUUGAUACUGACAGACUUGAGUAUGGAAGAGGAGAGUGGAAUUCCUAGUGUAGCGGUGAAAUGCGUAGAUAUUAGGAGGAACACCAGUGGCGAAGGCGACUCUCUGGUCCAUAACUGACGCUGAGGCGCGAAAGCGUGGGGAGCAAACAGG
RNAcentral lists this ribosomal RNA (253 nucleotides) under uncultured bacterium. Its description in RNAcentral is "partial 16S ribosomal RNA". It matches the Rfam family "Bacterial small subunit ribosomal RNA", at positions 524 to 776 of the family's 1533-position model. The record is from RNAcentral.